GAUUCACAGAGACACUGCAGCACUGUGUUGGCUACUUCACCUCUGAAUGAUGACCACUGAAGAACAUGAGAGAUGAAGUACAAUGGAGAAGUCCAGAUAAAUGGACUGGAAUUCCUGCUACCAUUAUAUAUUUUUUUCUUUUUUAUGGAUUUUGGUACACCCUCAUGGCUGUCAAAGGCCAUUGUCUUUGCUCCAGAGGUCCUACAGCCAUGGUGCAGCUUGGAUCCUAGAUGCUAUGCUUGGGGUUAGGCUACUGCUUCCUCCUGAAUUACACUGGCAGACUAAGGCUUCAUCUCUGAAGUAUGGAUCCAAAGAAUUAGAAGAACUCUCAACACAUCAAAAUUCUUUAAUUCUAAGACAUAAUUUUGGCUGUUUUAUUAAUCUUAAGUCGUUAUUGUGUGUAUUUCCCCGUAUCCAUUUUGCACAGCGUUAGCUCAGCUCCAAAGACAGAUUAGCUCUCUUUACGAAGUGCUCCCAAAAAGUAUGACUGAGAUUCCUUCUUAAUACUCUUCUCAACUCAGCUUAUGUAUAAUCCUUUUCAAAGUGUAAAAUGCCAAAGGAUGUUUAUAUGCUGGAGCUUAUAUGACAGUAUAUUGUUGUUCCUUCACACUUCACUGAACAGUCUACGAAUACUAAUCUAUAAAAUGCUCUUCUCAUACGCACUUUAAAACUCUGUGCUGUUUGUG
Molecule: long non-coding RNA, 686 nt
Filed under: Coturnix japonica (Japanese quail)
Lineage: Eukaryota; Metazoa; Chordata; Aves; Galliformes; Phasianidae
Description: lncRNA (ENSCJPG00005003109.1)
Source: RNAcentral